This 328-nucleotide unclassified non-coding RNA is filed under the name soil metagenome. RNAcentral describes it as "partial contains 5.8S ribosomal RNA, internal transcribed spacer 2, and large subunit ribosomal RNA". The stretch from base 1 to 120 matches the Rfam family "5.8S ribosomal RNA", at positions 35 to 154 of the family's 154-position model. The record is from RNAcentral.
GAUGAAGAACGUAGCGAAAUGCGAUAAGUAAUGUGAAUUGCAGAAUUCAGUGAAUCAUCGAAUCUUUGAACGCACAUUGCGCCCCCUGGUAUUCCGGGGGGCAUGCCUGUCCGAGCGUCAUUACAACCCUCAAGCUCAGCUUGGUGUUGGGCCCCGCCGCCCCGGCGGGCCCUAAAGCCAGUGGCGGUGCCGUCCGGCUCCGAGCGUAGUAAUUCUUCUCGCUCUGGAGGUCCGGUCGUGUGCUCGCCAGCAACCCCCAAUUUUUUCAGGUUGACCUCGGAUCAGGUAGGGAUACCCGCUGAACUUAAGCAUAUCAAUAAGCGGAGGA